This 789-nucleotide ribosomal RNA is filed under the name Methanoculleus sp. enrichment culture clone HA_10. RNAcentral's name for it is "bacterial SSU rRNA". It matches the Rfam family "Archaeal small subunit ribosomal RNA", at positions 85 to 879 of the family's 1478-position model. The record is from RNAcentral. Lineage: Archaea; Methanobacteriati; Methanobacteriota; Methanomicrobia; Methanomicrobiales; Methanomicrobiaceae.
ACUGCUCAGUAACACGUGGAUAACCUGCCCUAAGGAAGGGGAUAACCUCGGGAAACUGAGGAUAAUACCCUAUAGGUUACAGACGCUGGAAUGCCCUGUAACCGAAAGUUCCGGCGCCUUAGGAUGGAUCUGCGGCCGAUUAGGUUGUUGUUGGGGUAACGGCCCAACAAGCCGAUAAUCGGUACGGGUUGUGGGAGCAAGAGCCCGGAGUUGGAUUCUGAGACAUGAAUCCAGGCCCUACGGGGCGCAGCAGGCGCGAAAACUUUACAAUGCGGGAAACCGUGAUAAGGGAACCCCGAGUGCCUGUAUAUGCAGGCUGUCCAGGUGUCUAAAAAACACCUGAAGAAAGGGCCGGGCAAGACCGGUGCCAGCCGCCGCGGUAAUACCGGCGGCUCGAGUGGUGGCCACUUUUAUUGGGCCUAAAGCGUUCGUAGCUGGGUUGUUAAGUCUCUUGGGAAAUCUGACGGCUCGACCGUCAGGCGUCCAAGGGAUACUGGCAAUCUUGGAACCGGGAGAGGCGAGGGGUACUUCGGGGGUAGGAGUGAAAUCCUGUAAUCCUCGAGGGACCACCUGUGGCGAAGGCGCCUCACCAGAACGGCUUCGACAGUGAGGGACGAAAGCUGGGGGAGCAAACCGGAUUAGAUACCCGGGUAGUCCCAGCCGUAAACGAUGCGCGUUAGGUGUAUCGGUGACCACGAGUCACCGAGGUGCCGAAGGGAAACCGUGAAACGUGCCGCCUGGGAAGUACGGUCGCAAGGCUGAAACUUAAAGGAAUUGGCGGGGGAGCAC